ACUUAAAUUGAAGAGUUUGAUCAUGGCUCAGAUUGAACGCUGGCGGCAGGCCUAACACAUGCAAGUCGAACGGUAGCACAGAGAGCUUGCUCUCGGGUGACGAGUGGCGGACGGGUGAGUAAUGUCUGGGAAACUGCCCGAUGGAGGGGGAUAACUACUGGAAACGGUAGCUAAUACCGCAUAACGUCGCAAGACCAAAGUGGGGGACCUUCGGGCCUCACACCAUCGGAUGUGCCCAGAUGGGAUUAGCUAGUAGGUGGGGUAACGGCUCACCUAGGCGACGAUCCCUAGCUGGUCUGAGAGGAUGACCAGCCACACUGGAACUGAGACACGGUCCAGACUCCUACGGGAGGCAGCAGUGGGGAAUAUUGCACAAUGGGCGCAAGCCUGAUGCAGCCAUGCCGCGUGUAUGAAGAAGGCCUUCGGGUUGUAAAGUACUUUCAGCGAGGAGGAAGGCGUUGUGGUUAAUAACCACAGCGAUUGACGUUACUCGCAGAAGAAGCACCGGCUAACUCCGUGCCAGCAGCCGCGGUAAUACGGAGGGUGCAAGCGUUAAUCGGAAUUACUGGGCGUAAAGCGCACGCAGGCGGUUUGUUAAGUCAGAUGUGAAAUCCCCGGGCUCAACCUGGGAACUGCAUUUGAAACUGGCAAGCUUGAGUCUCGUAGAGGGGGGUAGAAUUC
This 681-nucleotide ribosomal RNA is filed under the name Salmonella enterica subsp. enterica serovar Kentucky. Its description in RNAcentral is "bacterial SSU rRNA". It matches the Rfam family "Bacterial small subunit ribosomal RNA", at positions 1 to 669 of the family's 1533-position model. Lineage: Bacteria; Pseudomonadati; Pseudomonadota; Gammaproteobacteria; Enterobacterales; Enterobacteriaceae. The record is from RNAcentral.